AUUAUAGGUACAUGGAGUAUAUCGAUGACGUUUAAAAGAGUUACCAACAGCUUUACACAGAUUGUUUGGCUUGAUGUAGUAUUUGACAAGGACAAUUAUAAUGCAUAUGACUACAUACUAAACACCUGAAUGAUGUAGUUUUUUUUAUUGUAUGGAACAUUUAUAUAAAAGAAUGACCAUAGUACUUAUCAAAUUUAUGAAGAUUACUUUUGUCAAAAUGCUUUUCAUUGUUUUAUAUAAUCUGAAGUUAGAUUAAGCUGUGUCUUUUUCAUGCUUAAAAACAAUAGAUAACUGAAAUUUGUAUAUUGCGUGUAUUUUAUAACUUCAGAUGAGUACAUAUGUGGUGUUGCCUUUUCGGUAUUUA
RNAcentral lists this long non-coding RNA (364 nucleotides) under Mytilus galloprovincialis (Mediterranean mussel). The record is from RNAcentral. Lineage: Eukaryota; Metazoa; Mollusca; Bivalvia; Mytilida; Mytilidae.